Physcomitrium patens is the source of this 3643-nucleotide long non-coding RNA. RefSeq lists it as uncharacterized. The record is from RefSeq and is a predicted model, not a curated record. Lineage: Eukaryota; Viridiplantae; Streptophyta; Bryopsida; Funariales; Funariaceae.
GUCCCCUUGUUCACUUUCCUUCACCCUCUCGCAGCGAAACCCUCCCAGCAGUUUGGUCUCUUCUCGCUUUGAAUUACUCGAAUCUGCGCUUACAUACAUGACGCCGUGACAUCUCUGUGCCGCAUACCAACAAUGUGAGAGCGAAGAGCUGCGGACAAUAGGGAUGAAGAUUGAUAAGAAGUUGAUGGCGCAUUGAACAGCAUAUCACAAUUGUAUCCUGGCUAGGCUUAUGUGCAAUCGAAUUGCGAGAUAGGAGCUGAUCUGAAUGAUUUUAAGGACAGAAGUCUUCUAUAACCUGGAAUAUGGUAAUACAGAACUUUAGUCGAAGAUUACAUUACACUUGCAAUGCUCUUGAUUGAGCUAUCCGAAGAACUUCAUACUCAGAUUUGGUAACCUCCCAACAAACUUCACCAGACUUAUUAUCAGAGUCAACGCAUCAGCUGCCUCGAGAUAAGAAAUUUCUCCAGUAUCAUCGAUCAAUCACAACAAGAAGGAUGACAUAGGAACGACUGCAGGAAUCUCUGUUGUAAGAGCUAAGUGUCACGAAUAUCUGAGAAAAGUAGCAAAAAACAGCACUUUCACCUUUGAAGAGGAAUACCUGAAGCAUAACUGCGGUUGUCCGAACCAACCAACGAGUGCAAGCUUCCAUUCACUUGUAAUACGUUUUGGAAGGCCACGUCUUUCACCAUCGACAACAAGUCCAAUUUGGAAUGACACUUAUCAGAUAACGUCGUCCUGGGCAAGCAUGUGAUAGACAGAAGAACGGGAAAGGCGAUCCUGGAUACUAGUUUUUUUUUUUUUUUUUUUUUUUUUUUUUUCCUUUCUUCUUGUGUUUUUUUCCGCUUCUAUCUCACCAUCUUCUAUUUCAUGCAGUUGGUCACCCAAGCCGGGUGAAUCCUUUGUUAUAUUUUUUUAGCUUACUUCUGAUACUGAUGUUGAGUAGAUAUUGUAAGCCCUGUGUGUGUAUAGUGCUGAAUACAGUAAGGUACACCAUAGUAGGUUCAUUAUUGGGUCACCUCGGAUUUGCUUGAACUAGUCUCUUGCAUUCAUUGGUGAAUUUUGGAUUUUGAGGUAGAAAUCCUCGUGUUGGAGCCUCUCCAUCUUAGCUUCCCGACGACCCCAGAAUCAGUCAAAUUGGAAUUAGAACGAAAAUUUUUGGCAAUAAUUCAAGUGGUCAACUGCCCCUUCGCUCCUUGGAUUAUCCAACCAACUUAUGAGAGAAGCAAUGAUCAAUUGUCAAAUAUUGGAUUGCUACAAAUACUAGUGAUGUUAAACUCCAGCAACAAGCGAAGGAUUGUUCCAGCAGUUGGUGUCGUAGUCUAAGGGAUGAGGAUUGGCAAGAAGAUGACGGUGCAUUGAACAGCAUAUCACAAUUGUAUCUUGGGUGCCGUCGAAUUGUGAGAUAGGAGUUGAUUUGAAUGAUUUAAAGGACGAGAGAGUUCUUCAUGUUGGAAUAUGGUUUUGUGGCAAUCAAAGAAUAUUUCAAAAAUCUAUGGUUGCAUGAGUAAACAAAGGAGUGUACUCAAGAAUCAAUUGUUAGUUUUAUUUUGAGGUUUUAUUCAUGUGAUGAAGAUGAAUUAUACAUAUUAUUCAAAUAUUUUCCAUGGGCUAUCUUGUAAAGAUGUUUAUGAAGCAUGUCUUAAUAAUGUGGAGGUUUUUAUUUAGUUGUUGUACAUUGGGAUUUGCACUUGCUAUGGAAUUUUGUAACAAGUUUGUGGAGGAUAUUGGAGUUGCAUUCAAAGCAAGAGAAGUUAGAUAUUGGAGAUAUGCUUACUCAAUUCCAUGAUUACAAUCAAGAAAUGGAGGUAUUAUUGAAGAGUAAAGUUGUAUUGAAUAAAAAACAAUGUACAAAUAUUUGCAAACCACUUGGCCAUGUUAUCAAAGUAUUUGAAGGCUUGAGAGCUUGUAGCAAUAAAAGAAGUAAGUAUAAAAUUUUAUUUUACGAAUUUUAAUAUACAACAUUGAGGAUAUACAAGUUGAUAAAAGCUUGUGCACAAGAACGAUAGUGUGAAGCAAGUAUCUUUCAACUGGAAAACAAAGAAAUAUUUAGAGAGUUAUUAUGGGACUUGAAGUCUUGUUAUGACAUGGAAAUCCAUCUACUAUCAAAGGAGUGUCGAAAAAAGAUGGAGGAUAUUACACUUGUAUUGUUUGAUGUUUCAACUUAGAAAGAAGUGAAACAUGAUGGUGAAGAACUUCACAAAAGAUUGGACCAUAAAAGUAAAGAUGUUCAAUUUAAAGAUCAUGGCUUGGCAAACUAUUUAUCAACAAGAUUGGAGAACUUGUGGCAAGUAGAAGGUGGAAAAAUAGAUUCUUUGGAAGUAUCAAGUGAUAUCAAAAGUUUAGAGCUUGGAAAAAUUAUAAAUAAGGGUUCAUUUAGAAAAGUUUAUAACUCGAAGUGGUAUGGACUUGCAACUGCAACAAAAAUAAUGGAUGUUGGUUGGAAUAAUAUGUUCAUGAAAGAAGUGGGUAUCUUAGCUAGCACAAGCCAUCCAAACUUGAUCAAAUAUUAUUAUGCUACCAAAAGUAAUACAAAUGAGAAUGGAGAGUCUUCAAAGAUGAAUAAUUCAAAGGAAAAAGUAUACUUGGUGAUGGAAUUGAUGCAAACAAAUUUGAGCAACAUAUUGGAGGCAAAAAGAGCAAUGCCAUACUACUUUCUUAUUGAUGUUAUUUAUCAAAUUGCAAGAGGAAUGUGUUAUUUACAUGACAUGUAAAUUGUACAUCGAGGUUUAAAGCCAGAUAAUGUACUACUUAAUGUUAUAAGUGAUGGUAAAUCUAGUAAUGGUUUUUAUUAUGUUGUUGUGAAGUUGAUUGAUUUUGAUUGUUCAAAGAUCAAUAUGGAUAGGAAUCCAAAAAUUAAAGAAAAUAUAUAUAUAUAUAUAUAUAUAUAUAUAUAUGGGACUUUAAGAUACACAACUCUAGAGAUAUUAAAAAGUAUAAUGGAAUCAACAAAGAUGUGUGCUUUUAAAGCAGAUUUAUAUUCUUUUGCAAUGAUAUGUUCUAAGAUUCUUUCAGGUGAAGAUCCAUUUGAUGGCAUUGAUACUACAAAAGAAUUAUUGAAAAAGAUUGAAAAAGGUGAAAGACCAAAGUUACCUUCAAAUUGUGAAGAUUUAAGUAAAUUGAUUGAAAAAUGUUGGACUUUGAAUCCUUCCAAAAGACCUAGUUUUGCAAACAUUUGCAAGAGACUCACAACAUUGAAGCAAAAAUACUUGGUGGAAGUUGAUGUAGCCAAAACACCUCAUUUUGGAGCAUUCAAGAAAGAACAAGAAAGAAGUAAAUCAAAAGAUUUACAUGUUAAUGAUACAUUGGUAAAUUUUAUAGUUGAAAUUUGGUGUGAUAUAUAUGUUGCAUUGGUUUGUUUGAUUUCAAGAUGUACACAUUCAAAUAUGUGUAUUUUAAUGAUGUUUUGUCUAAAUAUGAAUAUGUGGUUAGAUUAUUAUUUUAGAAAUUCUGAUGUAAAUUAUAUAUUUUGUUAACAUUAUGAUUUGAUUAUUUAAAUAGGGACAUGAUUAUGAAGACAAUUUAAUGGGUAUAGAACAAUGUUUGUCAAACAUCAAACAUCUAUGCAUGAAUGGAAUAAAUGCAUUGUGUUUUGUUGGUAUAGAUGGAAUUGGAAAGACUACGUUAGAAAAGACUACAUUUGAUA